ACGAAUCCUUUGGGAUCUAUGUCUGGCCAUACUCAAUAAGUUUGUAAUAAUUUACUUAGCUCAUCUGCAUAAAGGAGAGGAAAUUUUAAUAAUGCUGACGUCUUUAGGCACUGACUUCGACAUAUACAUUACUUAGCAUUUUAAUCGAGGAGGUUCGCCCCGGAUAAGCUGUUUCAGUUAAUGGUAGAAGGAAAAAAACCUCUAUCCAAGAAACAUCAUAACUGCAUCAGCUUGAAUCAACUGUUAAAGGCUCAACGAAAUAUGAUGUAAAGAAAACAGUCUUCACAGAGCUGGGUACAAUAACAAAGAUGCCGUUUACAUACAACCUGCUGUUGCUAAAGUAACGACAGGACGGAAAGUUGGUUGAAAUUUAUAAUGAUAAGAAUAUCGUUAUGACAAAGAUGUGGCAGCAACUUAUAGUUCUGAUCACCGCUUUUUUCGUGGUUAUUCAUCAUGGCAUUCAAGCUGAGAUACAAAUUGCCGCACCAAGCAAUGUGACGGUUUACAACAGAACAGGCGAUAGCUUGUUCGUCCAAUGGAGUAAGGUAAAAGGAGAGAUCCUUGGUUACAGAGUGCGUCAUCAGCGAAAUGAUACUCCUGUCGCCCUUGG
This is a non-coding RNA of Pocillopora verrucosa, 610 nucleotides long. The record is from RefSeq and is a predicted model, not a curated record. NCBI's taxonomy places the organism in Eukaryota, Metazoa, Cnidaria, Anthozoa, Scleractinia, Pocilloporidae.